GUGCCAGCCGCCGCGGUAAUACCGGCAGCUCGAGUGAUGGCCGAUUUUAUUGGGCCUAAAGCGUUCGUAGCCGGCCACACAAGUCCAUCGGGAAAUCCGCCAGCCUAACUGGCGGGCGUCCGGUGGAAACUGUGUGGCUCGGGACCGGAAGACCCGAAGGGUACGUCUUGGGUAGGAGUGAAAUCCUGUAAUCCUGGACGGACCGCCGAUGGCGAAAGCACUUCGGGAAGACGGAUCCGACGGUGAGGAACGAAAGCCAGGGUCUCGAACCGGAUUAGAUACCCGAGUAGUCC
This 293-nucleotide ribosomal RNA is filed under the name uncultured bacterium. RNAcentral describes it as "partial 16S ribosomal RNA". It matches the Rfam family "Archaeal small subunit ribosomal RNA", at positions 455 to 747 of the family's 1478-position model. The record is from RNAcentral.